RNAcentral lists this ribosomal RNA (497 nucleotides) under uncultured bacterium. RNAcentral describes it as "partial 16S ribosomal RNA". It matches the Rfam family "Bacterial small subunit ribosomal RNA", at positions 28 to 507 of the family's 1533-position model. The record is from RNAcentral.
GAUGAACGCUGGCGGCGUGCCUAAUACAUGCAAGUCGAGCGAACAGACGAGGAGCUUGCUCCUUUGACGUUAGCGGCGGACGGGUGAGUAACACGUAGGUAACCUACCUAUAAGACUGGGAUAACUUCGGGAAACCGGAGCUAAUACCGGAUAAUAUUUCGAACCGCAUGGUUCGAUAGUGAAAGAUGGCUUUGCUAUCACUUAUAGAUGGACCUGCGCCGUAUUAGCUAGUUGGUAAGGUAACGGCUUACCAAGGCAACGAUACGUAGCCGACCUGAGAGGGUGAUCGGCCACACUGGAACUGAGACACGGUCCAGACUCCUACGGGAGGCAGCAGUAGGGAAUCUUCCGCAAUGGGCGAAAGCCUGACGGAGCAACGCCGCGUGAGUGAUGAAGGUCUUCGGAUCGUAAAACUCUGUUAUUAGGGAAGAACAAACGUGUAAGUAACUGUGCACGGCUUGACGGUACCUAAUCAGAAAGCCACGGCUAACUACGUG